RNAcentral lists this ribosomal RNA (582 nucleotides) under uncultured bacterium. RNAcentral describes it as "bacterial SSU rRNA". It matches the Rfam family "Bacterial small subunit ribosomal RNA", at positions 102 to 680 of the family's 1533-position model. The record is from RNAcentral.
ACGGGUGAGUAACGUCUGGGAAACUGCCCGAUGGAGGGGGAUAACUACUGGAAACGGUAGCUAAUACCGCAUAACGUCGCAAGACCAAAGUGGGGGACCUUCGGGCCUCACACCAUCGGAUGUGCCCAGAUGGGAUUAGCUAGUAGGUGGGGUAAUGGCUCACCUAGGCGACGAUCCCUAGCUGGUCUGAGAGGAUGACCAGCCACACUGGAACUGAGACACGGUCCAGACUCCUACGGGAGGCAGCAGUGGGGAAUAUUGCACAAUGGGCGCAAGCCUGAUGCAGCCAUGCCGCGUGUAUGAAGAAGGCCUUCGGGUUGUAAAGUACUUUCAGCGGGGAGGAAGGCGGUGAAGUUAAUAGCUUCACCGAUUGACGUUACCCGCAGAAGAAGCACCGGCUAACUCCGUGCCAGCAGCCGCGGUAAUACGGAGGGUGCAAGCGUUAAUCGGAAUUACUGGGCGUAAAGCGCACGCAGGCGGUCUGUCAAGUCGGAUGUGAAAUCCCCGGGCUUAACCUGGGAACUGCAUUCGAAACUGGCAGGCUGGAGUCUUGUAGAGGGGGGUAGAAUUCCAGGUGUAGCG